Molecule: long non-coding RNA, 1865 nt
Filed under: Pongo abelii (Sumatran orangutan)
Lineage: Eukaryota; Metazoa; Chordata; Mammalia; Primates; Hominidae
Description: lncRNA (ENSPPYG00000036374.1)
Source: RNAcentral
CUCUCUGCUCUGGCAAGGCAGGCGAAGACCUGAGCCUUAUCUCCGGACCCCCUCACCCCCAAUCUCCCGCCGCGCUGCUCCGCACCUACCGCGCGGCCACCGGCCUUACCUGGCCGGGUCUCGGCGAGCGAGGCUGCGCCUGGUGCUUGCGUCCAGCGAACAAACCUGUCCUCCAGCCCCCAGCCCACAGCUCCGCUCUGCCCCUCCUCCCGCCGCGCGUGCCCGCCUCCUGGCUGCCAUGGCGACAGUUCCCACACCCUGCGGCCGCUGAUUGGUCCGGUUCGCGAUUGCUGACGACGCCGAUUGGCGGGAGCAGGGACAAGGCCGCGCCGGGGAGCCUGGAGGCGGGCGGUGGGGAGCGCCGAAGCUAUGGAGCCUUGGGGGAGGCUGAGCCAGGAGGGACGUGGCGCUCUGAGAUGCAGGCUCGGGAGGCCGCGCCUCUUCCUUCCCUAGCUUUCCCGGGGAAGCCUGUGGAGCAGGACUUGCGCGGACAGCUCUUUCCUCUGCAUCCUGCCCCAGAGAACAGACAUCUAUUCCAAGCCCCUCAUUUUAAAGAUGCGGAAACUGAGGCUCAAAGAUGCACAUGGGUAGCUUGAGCCUUCCAGAAGCUUUUGGAGCCACAGGCUGUUUACGAAGUUUUAUUCUGCCGAUUAGUUUUUUUCACCUGAAAAAUUGGUAUCAUAUCUACCUUAGGGUUAUUCACGAAGAUUGAAUGAGAUAACAUUGCCAGGAAAACAGUACAGACCAGGCACGGUGACUCACCCUGUAAUGCCAGCACUUUGGGAGGCCAAGGCAGGAGGAUGGCUUGAGCUCAAAAAUUUGAGACCAAUCUGGACAACAGUGAGAUCCUAUCUCUACAAGAAUAUUUUUUUCUUUUUUAUCUUUAACACAAUGAUGUUUCAGUCUGAAGAAAAUAUUUAAAAAUUUGCCAGGUGCUGUGUCGCACAUCUGUAGUCCCAGCUACUCAGGAGGCAGAGGCGGGAGGAUCACUUGAGCUCAGAAGGCUGAGGCUGCAGCGAACCAUGAUCAUUGUGCCACAAAAAAACAAACAAACAAAAACACACAGUACAGAAUCUGCCACAUAGUGUGUUAGCAAUGAAAGCUUCUGUUAUCAGGAAGUACUACAAGCCAAUUGCCUCUGUUGCACAACUGGACUCUGUGUGCCCCUAACUGUAUAAUUUGCCAGUUAUUUAAGUGCUCUCUGCCUCCAUGUCCUUGUCUGUAAAAUGAACAUAAUAAUAGUACCCUCCUACUUACAGCAUAGCAAAUUAAUUUAAAAAGUGACUGGCACAUUGUAAAUUUUAAAUAAAUGUUAACCGUGCUCAGAUUAGUGGCUGAACUGGGACUAUAACUUAGAUCUCUAGAUUUCAACCCAAUCGUAUUUAUUUAUUUAUUUAGAGAUAGGGUCUCCCUCUGUUGCCCAGGCUGGAGUGCAGUGGCACAAUCUCAGCUCACUGCAGCCUCAACCUCGCAGGAUCAAGCAAUCCUCCCACCUCAGCCUCCCAAGUAGCUGGGACUACAAGCACACACUACCACGCCUGGCUAAUUUUUUGGCAUUUUUUUGUAGAGACGAAUUUUUGCCAUGUUAUCCAGGCUGGUCUCGAAGUCCUGGACUCAAGCAAUCUGCCUUCCUUAGCCUCUCAAAGAUUAGAAGCGUGAACUACCACACCUGGCCUCAAUUAUCUUUACUAACACUUCUCAUCCACAUACAUAGAUCAGUGCCUCAAGGUUAAGCUCCUUUUUGAGGUUCAGGAGAAGAGGACCCUCCAGCCUGGGCGACAAGAGCGAAACUCCGCCUCAAAACAAACAAACAAACAAAAAAGGGUGAACUCCUAGGAGCGGGAGACUGAUGCAGGACAGGAAAG